UACGUAGGGUGCAAGCGUUGUCCGGAAUUAUUGGGCGUAAAGAGCUCGUAGGCGGUCUGUCGCGUCGGAUGUGAAAACCCGAGGCUUAACCUCGGGCCUGCAUUCGAUACGGGCAGACUAGAGUUCGGUAGGGGAGACUGGAAUUCCUGGUGUAGCGGUGAAAUGCGCAGAUAUCAGGAGGAACACCGGUGGCGAAGGCGGGUCUCUGGGCCGAUACUGACGCUGAGGAGCGAAAGCGUGGGGAGCGAACAGG
This 253-nucleotide ribosomal RNA is filed under the name uncultured bacterium. RNAcentral's name for it is "partial 16S ribosomal RNA". It matches the Rfam family "Bacterial small subunit ribosomal RNA", at positions 524 to 776 of the family's 1533-position model. The record is from RNAcentral.